This 245-nucleotide ribosomal RNA is filed under the name uncultured Actinomycetales bacterium. Its description in RNAcentral is "partial 16S ribosomal RNA". It matches the Rfam family "Bacterial small subunit ribosomal RNA", at positions 88 to 334 of the family's 1533-position model. The record is from RNAcentral. Lineage: Bacteria; Bacillati; Actinomycetota; Actinomycetes; Actinomycetales.
UGGAUUAGUGGCGAACGGGUGUGUAACACGUGAGUAACCUGCCCUUAACUCUGGGAUAAGCCUGGGAAACUGGGUCUAAUACCGGAUAGGAGCGUCCACCGCAUGGUGGGUGUUGGAAAGAUUUAUCGGUUUUGGAUGGACUCGCGGCCUAUCAGCUUGUUGGUGAGGUAAUGGCUCACCAAGGCGACGACGGGUAGCCGGCCUGAGAGGGUGACCGGCCACACUGGGACUGAGACACGGCCCAG